AAUUAACUUUUGGAGGACUAAUACAAGAAACAAAUCAUGUAAAUCUUUUCCUUUUGAAAAAUGUACGAACAAAAUCAUGUAAAUCAUACAUAAACAAGAAUUUGUACAAACACCAUACAUCACAUGCAUAGAUAUAUGUUAUAAAAUACAAAUUGAAAGAUCAAGAUCAUACCUUUUUGGUCUAAGCCAGAUCAGUUACACCCGUGAUCACAAACGACAUAUAAUUCCUUUCUGUCAACUAUUA
RNAcentral lists this long non-coding RNA (244 nucleotides) under Solanum tuberosum (potato). Its description in RNAcentral is "long non-coding RNA (STUB_LNC006735)". The record is from RNAcentral. Lineage: Eukaryota; Viridiplantae; Streptophyta; Magnoliopsida; Solanales; Solanaceae.